Molecule: ribosomal RNA, 468 nt
Filed under: uncultured bacterium
Lineage: Bacteria
Description: partial 16S ribosomal RNA
Rfam family: Bacterial small subunit ribosomal RNA
Source: RNAcentral
GACGAACGCUGGCGGCGUGCUUAACACAUGCAAGUCGAACGGAAAGGCCCUGCUUUUGUGGGGUGCUCGAGUGGCGCACGGGUGAGUACAACGUGAGUAACCUGCCCUUGUCUUUGGGAUAACUUCAGGAAACUGGGGCUAAUACCGGAUAGGAGCUCCUGCUGCAUGGUGGUGGUUGGAAAGUUUCGGCGGUUGGGGAUGGACUCGCGGCUUAUCAGCUUGUUGGUGGGGUAGUGGCAUACCAAGGCUUUGACGGAUAGCCGGCCUGAGAGGGUGACCAGCGUCAUGGGGACUGAGAGACGCACCAGACGGGUACGUGAGGCAGCAGGGGAGAAUAUGACACAGUGGGCGGAAGCGUGAGACAGCAACGCCGCGUGCGGGAAGACGGCCUUCGGGGGAAAAACCGCUUUCUCAUGAGACGAAGCGGGAGUGACGGUAAUUGGUAAAGAAGCAACGGCUAACUACGUG